ACCUGAAACCUUGUGCCUACAAGCACAUAGAGCACAUCAACGUGUGAUAUGGUACCUUUUGUAGAAUGGUCCGGCGAGUGAAUGUCACUAGCGAGGUUAAGAACUUAAGGUUUGCAGCCGAAGCGAAAGCGAGUCUUAAUAGGGCGAGUUUAGUUAGUGGUAUUCGACCCGAAACCGAGUGACCUAGCCAUGAGCAGGCUGAAGUGGAGGUAAAACUCCAUGGAGGGCCGAACCCACUCCCGUUGAAAUGGUAGGGGAUGACUUGUGGCUAGCGGAGAAAUUCCAAUCGAACUCGGAGAUAGCUGGUUCUCUCCGAAAUAGCUUUAGGGCUAGCCUCAAUUAACAUUACCGCAGGUAAAGCACUGAAUGGGCUAGGGGGCGAAAGCUUACUGAACCCUAUCAAACUAAGAAUGGCGGAUAAUGAAUAAUUGGGAGUCACACUACGUGAGAUAAGUUUCGUGGUGGAAAGGGAAACAGCCCAGACCCACAGCUAAGGUCCCAAAGUACAGUUAAGUGGAAAAGGAUGUGAAGUUGCGCAGACAACCAGGAUGUUGGCUCAGAAGCAGCCACUCAUUCAAAGAGUGCGUAAUAGCUCACUGGUCGAGUGAUUUUGCGCCGAAAAUUUAACGGGGCUAAACUGUACACCGAAGCUUGGGAAUAUACCUUAUGGUAUGUUGGUAGGAGAGCGUCGUAUGCGGGGUGAAGUCGUAGCGAAAGCGGCGGUGGACUGCAUAGGAGUGAGAAUGCCGGAAUGAGUAGCGAGAAUUAUGUGAGAAUCAUAAUGGCCGAAAGACUAAGGUUUUAGAAGGAAGGUUCGUCCGCUUCUAGUUAGCCGGGAGCUAAGGCGAGGCCGAAAGGCGUAGUCGAUGCACAUACGGUUGAGAUUCCGUAGCCACCUUAAAUUUAAACUAAGGGACACAUUGAAAGGGAAUAACCCAGGCGUUGGUUGACCUGGGCGUAAGGGAACGAAAAUAAGUAGUGAAGUAUUCUUGGACAGUGGCGAGAAAAGCUUAGUGUAUAUUAUUAGGGUGCCCGUACUGCAAACCGACACAGGUAGUCAGGAAGAGAAUUCUAAGGCCAUCGGGAGAAGCGUUGUUAAGGAACUCGGCAAAUUGACCCCGUAACUUCGGAAUAAGGGGUGCUCACGAGAGUGAGCCGCAGUGAAUAGGUCCAGGCAACUGUUUAUCAAAAACACAGCUCUCUGCUAAAUCGUAAGAUGACGUAUAGGGGGUGACACCUGCCCGGUGCUGGAAGGUUAAGAGGAGGAGUGCAAGCCCCGAAUCGAAGCCCCAGUAAACGGCGGCCGUAACUAUAACGGUCCUAAGGUAGCGAAAUUCCUUGUCGGGUAAGUUCCGACCCGCACGAAUGGUGUAAUGAUCUGGACACUGUCUCAACAACGCACCCGGCGAAAUUGUAGUACCGGUGAAGAUGCCGGUUACCCGCGGCAAGACGGAAAGACCCCAUGGAGCUUUACUGUAACUUAAUAUUGGGUCUCGGUACUUUAUGUACAGGAUAGGCGGGAGACUUGGAAACUAGCACGCCAGUGUUAGCGGAGUCAUCCUUGGGAUACCGCUCUUAAGGUAUUGAGAUUCUAACCUGCAGCCUUGAAUCAGGUUGGGGGACAUUGUUAGGUGGGCAGUUUGACUGGGGCGGUCGCCUCCAAAAGAGUAACGGAGGCGUUCAAAGGUUGGCUCAGCAUGGACGGAAACCAUGCUUUAGAGUAUAAACGCAUAAGCCAGCCUAACUGCGAGACUGACGGGUCGAGCAGUAACGAAAGUUGGAGUUAGUGAUCCGGCGGUAUGUGAGUGGAAAUGCCGUCGCUCAACGGAUAAAAGCUACCCUGGGGAUAACAGGCUGAUCU
Molecule: ribosomal RNA, 1861 nt
Filed under: human gut metagenome
Description: bacterial LSU rRNA
Rfam family: Bacterial large subunit ribosomal RNA
Source: RNAcentral